UCCGGUUUGGCACCGGCAGUCCCCCGAGAGUCCUCAGCAUGACCUGUUAGCAACACGGGGCGGGGGUUGCGCUCGUUGCGGGACUUAACCCAACAUCUCACGACACGAGCUGACGACAGCCAUGCAGCACCUAGUUUCGUGUCCUUGCGGAAGGCUCCCUUUCAGGAGCGGUCACUAACUUUCAAGCCCAGGUAAGGUUCCUCGCGUAUCAUCGAAUUAAACCACAUGCUCCUCCGCUUGUGCGGGCCCCCGUCAAUUCCUUUGAGUUUCAACCUUGCGGUCGUACUCCCCAGGUGGAUCACUUAAUGGUUUCCCUUAGACGCUGACUGUGUAUCGCCAACAUCGAGUGAUCAUCGUUUAGGGCGUGGACUAC
RNAcentral lists this unclassified non-coding RNA (373 nucleotides) under uncultured Sphingobacteriales bacterium. Its description in RNAcentral is "contains 16S-23S intergenic spacer region". Lineage: Bacteria; Pseudomonadati; Bacteroidota; Sphingobacteriia; Sphingobacteriales. The record is from RNAcentral.